This 249-nucleotide ribosomal RNA is filed under the name uncultured bacterium. RNAcentral's name for it is "partial 16S ribosomal RNA". It matches the Rfam family "Bacterial small subunit ribosomal RNA", at positions 524 to 776 of the family's 1533-position model. The record is from RNAcentral.
GACGUAGGGCGCGAGCGUUGUCCGGAUUUAUUGGGCGUAAAGAGCUCGUAGGCGGUCUGUCGCGUCGGCUGUGAAAACCCGGGGCUCAACCCCGGGCCUGCAGUCGAUACGGGCAGACUAGAGUGCGGUAGGGAGACUGGAAUUUCCUGGUGUAGCGGUGAAAUGCGCAGAUAUCAGGAGGAACACCGGUGGCGAAGGCGGUUGCUGGCCGACACUGACGCUGGAGGCGCGAAGCCAGGAGCGAACGGG